GAUGAACGCUGGCGGCAUGCCUAAUACAUGCAAGUCGAGCGAACAGACGAGGAGCUUUCUCCACGGAUGUUAGCGGCGGACGUGUGAGUAACAAAUGGAUAACCUACCUAUAGGACUGGGAUAGAUUCGGUAAACCAUAGCUAAUACCGGAUAAUAUAUUAAACCGCAGGGUUUAAUAGUGAAAGACGGUUUUGCUGUCACUUAUAGAUGGAUCCGCGCCGCAUUAGCUAGUUGGUAAGGUAACGGCUUACCAAGGCAACGAUGCGUAGCAGACCUGAGAGGGUGAUCAGCCACACUGGAACUGAGACACGGCCCAGACUCCUACGGGAGGCAGCAGUAGGGAAUUUUCCACAAUGGGCGAAAGCCUGACCGAGCAACGCCGCGUGCGUGAUGAAGGUCUUCGGAUCGUAAACUGCUGUUAUUCGGGAAGAAAAAAUGCUUAAGUAACUAUGCACGUCUUGACGGUACCGAAUCAGAAAGCCACGGCUAACUACGUG
RNAcentral lists this ribosomal RNA (497 nucleotides) under uncultured bacterium. RNAcentral describes it as "partial 16S ribosomal RNA". It matches the Rfam family "Bacterial small subunit ribosomal RNA", at positions 28 to 507 of the family's 1533-position model. The record is from RNAcentral.